UGGGGAAUAUUGGACAAUGGGCGCAAGCCUGAUCCAGCCAUGCCGCGUGAGUGAUGACGGCCCUAGGGUUGUAAAGCUCUUUCACCCACGACGAUAAUGACGGUAGUGGGAGAAGAAGCCCCGGCUAACUUCGUGCCAGCAGCCGCGGUAAUACGAAGGGGGCUAGCGUUGUUCGGAUUUACUGGGCGUAAAGCGCACGUAGGCGGAUCUUUAAGUCAGGGGUGAAAUGCCGGAGCUCAACUUCGGAACUGCCUUUGAUACUGGAGAUCUUGAGUUCGAGAGAGGUGAGUGGAACUGCGAGUGUAGAGGUGAAAUUCGUAGAUAUUCGCAAGAACACCAGUGGCGAAGGCGGCUCACUGGCUCGAUACUGACGCUGAGGUGCGAAAGCGUGGGGAGCAAA
Molecule: ribosomal RNA, 400 nt
Filed under: uncultured bacterium
Lineage: Bacteria
Description: bacterial SSU rRNA
Rfam family: Bacterial small subunit ribosomal RNA
Source: RNAcentral